CCAAGGGGAAAGAUGUCCGAGUAACAAUGAUUUUGGAAUGUACUAGUUGUGUCCGAAACAGUGUUGAUAAGGUAUCAAGAGGUAUUUCCAGAUAUAUUACUCAAAAGAACCGGCACAAUACGCCUAAUCGAUUAGAAUUGAAAAAAUUUUGUCCCUAUUGUUACAAACAUACGAUUCAUUGGGAGAUAAAGAAAUAGAGCGAACCAAGCACCUGUGUCUUACCCUUUCAAGGAAGGGGAAAAAUGACAUUAUAUAUAUAACAUAUUUAAAUAGAAAAUAAACAAAUCUUAUUUUUUAAAAAUCCUAUUUUGGGUGUAUUCAAACUGAAUUAGAAUUAAGAAAUAGGAUUUUAGGGAUAAAGAAUAAAUUAAACAAACAAACCAUGGAUAAAUCCAAGCGACCUUUUCUUAAAUUCAAGCGAUCUUUUCGUAGGCGUUUGCCCCCGAUUCAAUCGGGGGAUCGAAUUGAUUAUAGAAACAUGAGUUUAAUUAGUCGAUUUAUUAGUGAACAAGGAAAAAUAUUAUCAAGACGAGUGAAUAGAUUGACCUUGAAA
This 553-nucleotide long non-coding RNA is filed under the name Nicotiana tabacum (common tobacco). RNAcentral describes it as "long non-coding RNA (NTAB_LNC016691)". The record is from RNAcentral. Lineage: Eukaryota; Viridiplantae; Streptophyta; Magnoliopsida; Solanales; Solanaceae.